UUGUUGUUGUUGUUGCUGCUGCCAACCAGUUAGUAGUUUAAUUACAACAGUUUAUCAAUUUCAAUGUUUUGAUGCAAGAAAGAUAGCCAAAAUGCUGCUGCAAGAAAGAUUACCCAAAAAGAUUAAUAGAUUAGUUGACACCAUCAAAAAAUUAAAGAAACAAUGAAAAAUUAUUAUUAAAAGUUGUUAGGUGUAGCUUUUUUUCCA
This is a non-coding RNA of Hydra vulgaris (swiftwater hydra), 207 nucleotides long. The record is from RefSeq and is a predicted model, not a curated record. Lineage: Eukaryota; Metazoa; Cnidaria; Hydrozoa; Anthoathecata; Hydridae.